UACGUAGGGGGCUAGCGUUGUCCGGAAUCAUUGGGCGUAAAGAGCGUGUAGGCGGUCCGGUAAGUCCGCUGUGAAAGUCGGGGGCUCAACCCUCGAAUGCCGGUGGAUACUGUCGGGCUAGAGUGCGGAAGAGGCGAGUGGAAUUCCUGGUGUAGCGGUGAAAUGCGCAGAUAUCAGGAGGAGCACCUGUGGUGUAGACAGCUUACUGGACCACUUCUGACGCUGAGACACGAAAGCGUGGGUAGCAAACAGG
RNAcentral lists this ribosomal RNA (253 nucleotides) under uncultured bacterium. Its description in RNAcentral is "partial 16S ribosomal RNA". It matches the Rfam family "Bacterial small subunit ribosomal RNA", at positions 524 to 776 of the family's 1533-position model. The record is from RNAcentral.